CCCGCUUGAAAAAAACUGCUCUCCUCGUUCUUUUAAAACCAGGCUUCGCUUUAAUCUUGUCCACUCCGCAUGUGUGCAAGUGAAGAAAAACUCAAUCGUAAAGACAAAAAAAAAAAGAGGUGAAAAAUCGAAGGAGAAAAAAAAUCUUCUUCUUCUGAGUCAAGAUGAUGAAACAUAAAAAAAAGAUUUUUCUCUGUUGUUCAAGCUUUUGGUAAAAAUCCUCUUCUUUAGUUUUUUUACGCGCUCUAUCGUCCGGCAAA
Cynoglossus semilaevis (tongue sole) is the source of this 260-nucleotide long non-coding RNA. RefSeq lists it as uncharacterized. NCBI's taxonomy places the organism in Eukaryota, Metazoa, Chordata, Actinopteri, Pleuronectiformes, Cynoglossidae. The record is from RefSeq and is a predicted model, not a curated record. The transcript has 2 exons.